GAAUCCCGUAUAUGGCACGGACUGCCGUUGCUCUGCGAUACACUCUCAACGAGUCGAGUUGUUUGGGAAUGCAGCUCCAAGUGGGUGGUAAAUGCCAUCUAAAGCUAAAUAUUGGCGAGAGACCGAUAGCGAACAAGUACCGUGAGGGAAAGAUGAAAAGCACUUUGGAAAGAGAGUGAAACAGUACGUGAAAUUGUUGAAAGGGAAACACUUGAAGUCAGUCGCGCCGUUCGGGACUCAGCCUUGCUUCUGCUUGGUUUACUUCCCGUUGGGUGGGUCAACAUCAGUUUUGGUCGGAGGAGAAAGGCCUGUGGAAGGUAGCAGCUUUGCUGUGUUAUAGCCACCUGUUGUAUACUUCGACUGGGACUGAGGAUCGCAGCACGCCUUUGGCCGGGGCUUUGCCCACGUACGUGCUUAGGAUGUUGGCAUAAUGGCUUUAAGUGACCCGUCUUGAAACACGGACCAAGGAGUCUAACAUGUGCGCGAGUGUUUGGGUGUUAAACUCGGACGCGAAAUGAAAGUAACAAGUUGGGAACACUUUUGUGUGCACCGACGCCCGGAGCUGACCUUCUGUGACGCAUCUGCGGUAGAGCGUAUAUGUUGGGACCCGAAAGAUGGUGAACUAUGCCUGAAUAGGGUGAAGCCAGAGGAAACUCUGGUGGAGGCUCGUAGCGAUUCUGACGUGCAAAUCGAUCGUCAAAUUUGGGUAUAGGGGCGAAAGACUAAUCGAACCAUCUAGUAGCUGGUUCCUGCC
This 754-nucleotide ribosomal RNA is filed under the name uncultured Sebacina. RNAcentral describes it as "partial 28S ribosomal RNA". It matches the Rfam family "Eukaryotic large subunit ribosomal RNA", at positions 216 to 962 of the family's 3401-position model. Lineage: Eukaryota; Fungi; Basidiomycota; Agaricomycetes; Sebacinales; Sebacinaceae. The record is from RNAcentral.